This 460-nucleotide ribosomal RNA is filed under the name uncultured bacterium. RNAcentral describes it as "partial 16S ribosomal RNA". It matches the Rfam family "Bacterial small subunit ribosomal RNA", at positions 338 to 795 of the family's 1533-position model. The record is from RNAcentral.
CCUACGAGCGGCAGCAGUGAGGAAUAUUGGUCAAUGGGCGCGAGCCUGAACCAGCCAAGCCGCGUGAAGGAUGACUGCCCUACGGGUUGUAAACUUCUUUUAUAAGGGAAUAAAGUGAGGCACGUGUGCCUUUUUGUAUGUACUUUAUGAAUAAGGAUCGGCUAACUCCGUGCCAGCAGCCGCGGUAAUACGGAGGAUCCGAGCGUUAUCCGGAUUUAUUGGGUUUAAAGGGAGCGUAGAUGGGUUGUUAAGUCAGUUGUGAAAGUUCGCGGCUCAACCGUAAAAUUGCCUUUGAUACUGGCAGUCUAGAGUACAGUUGAGGUAGGCGGAAUGCGUGGUGUAGCGGUGAAAUGCUUAGAGAUCACGAAGAACUCCGAUUGCGAAGGCAGCUUACUAAACUGCCACUGACAUUGAUGCUCGAAAGUGUGGGUAUCAAACAGGAUUAGAUACCCCUGUAGUC